RNAcentral lists this ribosomal RNA (321 nucleotides) under Escherichia coli. RNAcentral describes it as "bacterial LSU rRNA". It matches the Rfam family "Bacterial large subunit ribosomal RNA", at positions 2627 to 2925 of the family's 2925-position model. The record is from RNAcentral. Lineage: Bacteria; Pseudomonadati; Pseudomonadota; Gammaproteobacteria; Enterobacterales; Enterobacteriaceae.
CAGUUCGGUCCCUAUCUGCCGUGGGCGCUGGAGAACUGAGGGGGGCUGCUCCUAGUACGAGAGGACCGGAGUGGACGCAUCACUGGUGUUCGGGUUGUCAUGCCAAUGGCACUGCCCGGUAGCUAAAUGCGGAAGAGAUAAGUGCUGAAAGCAUCUAAGCACGAAACUUGCCCCGAGAUGAGUUCUCCCUGACUCCUUGAGAGUCCUGAAGGAACGUUGAAGACGACGACGUUGAUAGGCCGGGUGUGUAAGCGCAGCGAUGCGUUGAGCUAACCGGUACUAAUGAACCGUGAGGCUUAACCUUACAACGCCGAAGCUGUU